CUCUCUCCCCUAUGUGCUCUCCAUCUCCGUCUUUUUUUUUUUAUCACCCACGACCUGACCACUCCCAUCCCCACCCACAACCCAUGCCCCCGCCAUAGCCCCAGCAGCAACCUACCAUCUCACUCUCCUAAGGGCGGAACCAUGAAUUUUUCAAGGGUAAACUGCCGAAUAUCCCCUAAACUAUCACACAUGGAAAAUCUCCACCCUG
RNAcentral lists this long non-coding RNA (208 nucleotides) under Prunus persica (peach). RNAcentral describes it as "long non-coding RNA (PPER_LNC007742)". Lineage: Eukaryota; Viridiplantae; Streptophyta; Magnoliopsida; Rosales; Rosaceae. The record is from RNAcentral.